Molecule: long non-coding RNA, 365 nt
Organism: Erpetoichthys calabaricus (reedfish)
Lineage: Eukaryota; Metazoa; Chordata; Cladistia; Polypteriformes; Polypteridae
Exons: 3
Source: RefSeq, a predicted model, not a curated record
CUCAGUAGAGACUUGAGUAUCCACAUUUAAGUGAAAGAAGUCCACACAUAGACACUCCGGAAUUGCUACGAAUGAUGUUGUGGACGAUGUGCAUGGUUUAUAAACAGUAUAGUUUUUUUUAUGUAUACAUAGUUUAAUAUAAGGUACUCGCUUAUUCGUGAAGCAUGAACUGGGUCGGGGGUACGCGAAGCAGGUUCAUGGCCAAAAAUGAUACAAGACGACAAAAGGAUUAUUUUGAAAAGAAAAGACUUCUAAGGAAGACAAACCUUUUGGGAUUAUCGGCCUCAAAUGCUCAUGGAAAUAACAGCAGCAUGGAUCUAAUUACAAUGUUUGUUGUAAAUCAGAUUUCAGCAAAUAAGCUGAAA